Molecule: long non-coding RNA, 1167 nt
Filed under: Gossypium barbadense (sea-island cotton)
Lineage: Eukaryota; Viridiplantae; Streptophyta; Magnoliopsida; Malvales; Malvaceae
Description: long non-coding RNA (GBAR_LNC013163)
Source: RNAcentral
UCAACCCCCCCAUCUUUAAAAAAAAACAACAGAGCUCCCCUCCUCCUCUCAAGGCUCCGGCUUGGAUCCGAUCAAACGCUCCGGCGUUCCUCCGUCGUAUCCUCGCCGCAGGCGGUGGCCGGAGGUACAAAAUGGAACCUUUUCGGUUCCUUUUUGAUGCCGAAGGCCUCCUAAACACGGAUCCAACGCCGAAUCUUGUAAAAGGCGAGCCUAACCCCACAAAACGAGGAGUAACCGUCCGUCUCCUCUUCCUCCGGCGCGGCGCUAAAAGGUAUUUUUUACUCCUUUUUUGUUUUUUAAAGAAAUAAAUCGAAAAAUAAUGAUAUUUUUAUGAAAAGUGUAAGAAAAACAGAGAAGUGAAAGGCGAAAAUCACCUUCAAUCGCUUUGUUUGCUUUUGAUUUCUGAGAAUAUUUGUAAAAGAGGGGAAUCCGACCCCUUACAAUGAUAAUCACUAGCUUUUUAUAGCCCAAAAAUUACAUGUUUUUUAUAUUCUAUUAUUUCUCUCUCUUUGGUUGCUGUGGCUUUCUUUGUUUUCUUCCUUGCAGGUGACGGCGCAAGUGGGACGAUGGGACAGUGGCGGUGCAAGGCGAUGGCGGUGGCGGCUGAAAUCUAGGGGUCAAAGACCCUAGAUGCGGCGUUAGGGUUUCAGACUUUCUGAAACCCUAAGUAACUUUUUUAGGAUGUUGGGCCUGAGCUAUUGGGCUCCGAGUUUGCUGGGUUAGGGCCACUUGAGUUUGAUGGGCUGUUCGGGUUUGGGCUGGUCUGUUUGAGUUUUGUAAUGGGCCCGGUUUUGGGCAAAAUUGGGUUGUACAUUGUCCAUUCAAACAUAUUAAGACUAUUUGGUUUGGUUUGCCUGUCGGUACGUAAGCGCUUAUUCAUGCAAAAGUAUCCUUUUAUCAAUUAAAAAGAACAGCAAUAAGGUAAAACGUCAAUCUCUAAUAGGGUUUGCGGCGUCGGCAAACGAGUGUAGAAUCUUCUACGGUAAGCAAUAGCAUGCUAUCCUAUUUUCCUCCAAUAGCAUAUUUAUUUAUCAUUAAUAAUUAAUUUUAUUUUAAUUGUAAUAAAAAAAUUAUGACAUAAUUCAUCGUUUACAAACACCAUCUUCAUAUAAUAUUUAAAUUUUAUUUUAGAUAAUUUAUGAUUGUAAUUCUUGAACACAUAUGACA